This 1092-nucleotide unclassified non-coding RNA is filed under the name Pomacea canaliculata. RNAcentral's name for it is "epithelial membrane protein 1-like, transcript variant X2". Lineage: Eukaryota; Metazoa; Mollusca; Gastropoda; Architaenioglossa; Ampullariidae. The record is from RNAcentral.
UAAAGAAUUACAAACCUUUAGACGCGAGCGCCGACACACGCAGGUAGUCAUCACGUGACCUUGUGCAUGCUCACCUGUGUGUCGGGUGAUUGUCGAAGGUAUUUUUGCGCGCGGAAGGUUGGGGUUUGUUCAGGAGAAAAGACAUGAUAGUUUUGUGGAAAUUUAAUUUGUUUCUUUCAAAACACAUUGAUUUAUAUUUUACAAGAUGGCGAGUUGUAACUUUUGGAACAAUCGACUUAACAUGUCUGAAUAUUACCGACGCUUCGCAUGCUCUACUUUUGGAAGGUGAUGUUUGUUAGUUGUGUUACCAUGGACAGCUGUCCUAGAGACUGUUAAAAGGCUUGUGAAUAAUCCGAUUAGUCAGAACGAGGGUGUGAACAAGAAGAGUCCGGGUGUCAGGUCUCAUCUCCAGCAGUCGUUAAAAGCGUAGAUUACAAGUCUUUUAUAUAGAAGCUGAACUCUCGGCCCUACACACGGGCCGACUACAUCUCUGUCUCCACGAAGUGUCGUUUCAUCCUAGUGAAGUUGCCUUUGUUUAGUAAAGGACCAGCAGCUAACAUGGGAUUUAAGAAGCCUCACAUCGUUGUUGUCUUGGGUCUCGUCGCCUUAGUCGUCGCGCUCAUAUUUCAAAUCAUCGCCGUGGCGGCUACAGGCUGGUACACAGUAAAAAACACUGAUGACACCUACGGGCUCUGGGGUAUUUGUACUCAGGGUAUUUGCUUGGAUUACAUGUCUGCGGAUGAUACAAUAAAAGCAACUCGAGCCUUUGCCCUCCUCGGCCUUUUUUUCAUCAUCUUUGCUCUCGCCGCUGGCAUCCUCAUCAUGUUUAUUGAUAAGAAAGUGAUGAACCUAAUUGCUGGCGGAGUAGCCAUCUCUGCAGAUUGGGAAUUUCAUGGAAUGCGAUUUGGUUUGACAUCAGUUGAAGUGUGGCUCCUUCAUAAUUUUGUAUUUUGUAAUAAAGCUCUUUGAAAAUCCGGUGUACAUCUGUGUGCGUUUAUGUCUGAGAACAUUGUCCCGUCUGUAGCAUCAGUAUGAAGCUGCUGCGGUCAAACAUAAAUUUCAUGUCCGCCAGAGUGCUGAGCAAACGGUUGG